This 293-nucleotide long non-coding RNA is filed under the name Mytilus galloprovincialis (Mediterranean mussel). The record is from RNAcentral. Lineage: Eukaryota; Metazoa; Mollusca; Bivalvia; Mytilida; Mytilidae.
CCUUUUUUUGAACGAUCAAUACAUUUGAAUGGGGACAUGUAGUUGGAACCCCCACCCCCUUUUAUCCUGGGUUAGGACCCUCCUUUUUAAAAUGGCUGGAUCCGCCCUGCCGCUUUCAUAACACUUAUUUUUAGCAUACUGAAUAUUAUAAUGUUCUUACUUUCAGUUCAGGACCUGAUAAAAAUUUUACACAUCCAGUACAGAAAGAAAUGUUUCAAUGAAAGUUUUCGUGUUUUUCUAGGCAGAAAUGAUUUUGGAAUGACAUUAUACAGGUUUAAAAGAGCUCAAAAAAU